AUUGUGAUCAGCACGUGCUCCUUCACGUUGAAGGGGCCCGGGUUGAGGGUGAACUCAUACGGCCUGCCGCGGAAGAAGGCGCGCUCCGGCAGCGCGGCCGCCAUGAGCCGUCCGAGCGGCACGACGGCGACCUGGGCGGAGAUGGCCGUGACGGUGAGCGGCUCCUUGCGGUACCAGAAGAACUGGUUGAGGAAGGAGAGCACGGCGCAGGAGAGGACGCCGAGGACCCACAUCCGGAACGUCAGCACCGGCGUGUCCGGGUCGUCGCCCACCGGCACCGUCAGCGCCACCUGCUCGAUCGGCGAGUUCUCCCCCUCCUCCUCCUCGUCCCGCUCCGGCGAGCUGCGGGACGUCGACGACGGCACUGCAUGGGGAGCAGAGACCGGUUAA
RNAcentral lists this ribosomal RNA (390 nucleotides) under Triticum aestivum (bread wheat). RNAcentral describes it as "partial small subunit ribosomal RNA". Lineage: Eukaryota; Viridiplantae; Streptophyta; Magnoliopsida; Poales; Poaceae. The record is from RNAcentral.